This 464-nucleotide ribosomal RNA is filed under the name uncultured bacterium. Its description in RNAcentral is "partial 16S ribosomal RNA". It matches the Rfam family "Bacterial small subunit ribosomal RNA", at positions 28 to 507 of the family's 1533-position model. The record is from RNAcentral.
GACGAACGCUGGCGGCGUGCUUAACACAUGCAAGUCGAACGCUGAACCCGCUUCUGGGGGGGCUGAGUGGCGUACGGGUGGGUAACACGUGGGCAACCUGCCCCCGUCUCUGGGAUAACUCCCAGAUAUUGGGGCUAAUACCGGCUGUGACCGCUGGCCGCAUGCUCUGGUUGUGGAAAGGGUUUCCGGUUGGGUAUGGGCCCGCGGCCUAUCAGCUUGAUGGUGGGGUAGUGGCCUACCAAGGCGACGACGGGUACCCCGCCUGGGAGGGUGAACGGCCAAGAUGGGAAUGGGAGACGGCAGAGGCGACUCCGGGAGGAAGGAGUGGAGAAUAAUGGGGAAUGGGCGGAAGACUGACGCAGUGACGCGGCGUGUGGAUGACGGCCGUCGGGUUGGAAAGCGCGUGCGGCAGGGACGAAGCGCAAGUGACGGUAUCUGAAGAGGAAGCACCGGCCAACUACGUG